Molecule: ribosomal RNA, 484 nt
Filed under: uncultured bacterium
Lineage: Bacteria
Description: partial 16S ribosomal RNA
Rfam family: Bacterial small subunit ribosomal RNA
Source: RNAcentral
AUUGAACGCUGGCGGCAUGCUUUACACAUGCAAGUCGAACGGCAGCGCGGGCUUCGGCCUGGCGGCGAGUGGCGAACGGGUGAGUAAUACAUCGGAACGUGCCCAGUAGUGGGGGAUAGCCCGCCGAAAGCCGGAUUAAUACCGCAUACGACCUGAGGGAGAAAGCGGGGGAUCUUCGGACCUGGCGCUAUUUGAGCGGCCGAUGGCAGAUUAGCUAGUUGGUGGGGUAAAGGCUUACCAAGGCGACGAUCUGUAGCUGGUCUGAGAGGACGACCAGCCACACUGGGACUGAGACACGGCCCAGACUCCUACGGGAGGCAGCAGUGGGGAAUUUUGGACAAUGGGCGAAAGCCUGAUCCAGCAAUGCCGCGUGUGUGAUGAAGGCCUUCGGGUUGUAAAGCACUUUUGGCGGGAACGAAAAGGACUGUGCCAAUACCACGGUUCGAUGACGGUACCCGCCGAAUAAGCACCGGCUAACUACGUG